This 116-nucleotide small RNA is filed under the name Klebsiella aerogenes. Its description in RNAcentral is "partial RtT sRNA". It matches the Rfam family "RtT RNA", at positions 1 to 113 of the family's 130-position model. Rfam says of the family: This family represents a bacterial cis-regulatory element known as RtT RNA. The exact function of RtT is unknown although it is thought that it may be involved in changing the cellular response in relation to amino acid starvation. The record is from RNAcentral. Lineage: Bacteria; Pseudomonadati; Pseudomonadota; Gammaproteobacteria; Enterobacterales; Enterobacteriaceae.
UAUUCUGCCCUACGGGGAAGGAUGAGAAGCUUCGACUAAGGUUCGACUCGAGCGUCAGCGAGAGAACGUUGCCGCAGGCAACGGCCCGAAGGGCGAGGCGCUUUAGCGCCGAGUAA